Saccostrea cuccullata (small rock oyster) is the source of this 338-nucleotide long non-coding RNA. RefSeq lists it as uncharacterized. The record is from RefSeq and is a predicted model, not a curated record. The transcript has 3 exons. NCBI's taxonomy places the organism in Eukaryota, Metazoa, Mollusca, Bivalvia, Ostreida, Ostreidae.
AAAGGCAGUUUAGAUCAUAAUGGUGAUUUUUUGGAUGCCACUUUGUCUGUCCUUGGCCUUCUUUUCUUGUCUUGGACACAAUAUUGAAGACGCCUGGACGCUGGUUUUCCAUGCUAUAAAAGGCAAUGGAUAUGAUGUCUAUGCUGCAUGGGACAAUAGAUCCCCAUAACACUGCACACCAAAACGAGGCUGUAUUCCCCGACAGUUUAAGCUUGAAAACUGGAGGUACAGCGGAAGGCAUUUUCGAAGUCCACUUAUUGAUCAUUGGAAUUCCCUAGAUAUUGUUAAGGUCCGGGUAGUGUUUGGAGAACACGGGAAAACACUUGCUUUUUUUGGAA